AUUGAACGCUGGCGGCAGGCCUAACACAUGCAAGUCGAACGAGUGGCGGACGGGUGAGUAAUGUCUGGGAAACUGCCCGAUGGAGGGGGAUAACUACUGGAAACGGUAGCUAAUACCGCAUACUAUCAGAUGAGCCCAGGUCGGAUUAGCUAGUUGGUGGGGUAAUGGCCUACCAAGGCGACGAUCCGUAGCUGGUCUGAGAGGAUGAUCAGCCACACUGGAACUGAGACACGGUCCAGACUCCUACGGGAGGCAGCAGUGGGGAAUAUUGGACAAUGGGCGAAAGCCUGAUGCAGCCAUGCCGCGUGUGUGAAGAAGGUCUUCGGAUUGUAAAGCACUUUAAGUUGGGAGGCGUUACCAACAGAAUAAGCACCGGCUAACUCCGUGCCAGCAGCCGCGGUAAUUC
Molecule: ribosomal RNA, 406 nt
Filed under: uncultured bacterium
Lineage: Bacteria
Description: partial 16S ribosomal RNA
Rfam family: Bacterial small subunit ribosomal RNA
Source: RNAcentral